AUGGACUGGAGCUGGAGAACCCUCCUCCUGGUGGCCAUGGCUACAGGUGUCCACUCCCAGGUGCAGCUGGUGCAGUCUGGGGCUGAGGUGAGGAAGCCUGGGGCCUCCGUGAAGGUCUCCUGCAAGGCUUCUGGAUACACCUUCACCAGCUACUACAUGCACUGGGUGCGACAGGCCCCAGGACAGGGGCUUGAGUGGGUGGGGUGGGUUUACCCUAACAAUGGAAACACAAAAUAUGCACAGAAGUUCCAAGGCAGAGUCUCCAUGUCCAGAGACACGUCCACGAGCACAGCCUACAUGGAGCUGAGCAGCCUGAGAGCCGAGGACACUGCCAUGUAUUACUGUGCAAGGGACACACAGUGA
Molecule: non-coding RNA, 363 nt
Organism: Myotis lucifugus (little brown bat)
Lineage: Eukaryota; Metazoa; Chordata; Mammalia; Chiroptera; Vespertilionidae
Source: the annotation of a RefSeq genome assembly